Molecule: transfer RNA, 72 nt
Filed under: Camelus bactrianus (Bactrian camel)
Lineage: Eukaryota; Metazoa; Chordata; Mammalia; Artiodactyla; Camelidae
Also listed under: 2 other names
Rfam family: tRNA
About the family: Transfer RNA (tRNA) molecules are approximately 80 nucleotides in length.
Source: Rfam by way of RNAcentral
GAAGGUAUAGCUCAGUGGUAAAGCACAUGCUUAGCAUGCAUGAAGUCCUGGGUUCAAUCCCCAGUAACCUCA